AGCGUGGACAUUUUUUUCUCUUUCCUUUUUUAGGCCAAAGAGGUGGACUACUGGACAUGCUACAACAAUUAAUUACUACCGUUAUAGAUUGAUAUUAUCUGAUCAAGAUUCAGGAAAAAGAAUUAGAAAACCUACCAUUUUUUUUUUCCUAUGACAAGGCUUGCGAAACAUUAUAAUCAUAACCCAGAAGGAUUUCCUUGCCUUACAUAUCAUAAGAUUUCAACUAUUUAAACAGCAGGGUGCAAAGGAGCCAAUGCACCCUUGUAAACAAAACAAACAGUUCAAUCUUCAUCAACCAAGAAAGGAACAUGGCAGCCAAGUCUUCAUUGAAGCUAGCAUUUUUUGUUGCUGCUCUUUUGGUUAUCGCUUCCUGUUCAGAAAUGGUUGCCGCCCGCGGAGUAGUGGAAAGGGGCCCUGUAAUUUCUUUUGAUUGCAAAGUCACUGCUGAUUGCACCGGUGCCAAAUGCUUGUGUGGAAAAUGUGUUUGUAAAGAUGGCCAUUGUACUUGUGCUGCAAAAUCUCAGUCCUCGUUAGAUGAGAAAUCCGGGAAUUGAAUUUUCAUUUAAAUCCCUAUUUUCUAUUUGGGGUUAUUAAGUAAAAUCUAUGAAUCAGCACUAAAAUAAAAGUUGUAUCCACCUUUUGAUUUAUAAUUGGGAGAUGGUAUUUGCAUUUUGUUCUUUCCUAA
This is a long non-coding RNA of Ricinus communis (castor bean), 685 nucleotides long. RefSeq lists it as uncharacterized. The transcript is spliced from 2 exons. Lineage: Eukaryota; Viridiplantae; Streptophyta; Magnoliopsida; Malpighiales; Euphorbiaceae. The record is from RefSeq and is a predicted model, not a curated record.